UGUAUUGGAAGUCAGUCUAGGUUCGCGACAUCGUGUCGCAACGACUGACUGACCCACAUCCUGUGGG
RNAcentral lists this small RNA (67 nucleotides) under Psychrobacillus psychrotolerans. RNAcentral describes it as "Bacillus psychrotolerans Bacillaceae-1 RNA". It matches the Rfam family "Bacillaceae-1 RNA". The record is from Rfam by way of RNAcentral. Lineage: Bacteria; Bacillati; Bacillota; Bacilli; Caryophanales; Bacillaceae.